AUUGAACGCUGGCGGCAUGCCUUACACAUGCAAGUCGAACGGUAACAGGGGCUUCGGCCCGCUGACGAGUGGCGGACGGGUGAGUAAUACAUCGGAAUGUACCCAGUAGUGGGGGAUAGCUCGGCGAAAGCCGGAUUAAUACCGCAUACGCACUGUGGUGGAAAGCGGGGGACCUUCGGGCCUCGUGCUAUUGGAGCAGCCGAUGUCAGAUUAGCUAGUUGGUGGGGUAAAAGCCUACCAAGGCGACGAUCUGUAACUGGUCUGAGAGGACGACCAGUCACACUGGGACUGAGACACGGCCCAG
This 304-nucleotide ribosomal RNA is filed under the name uncultured bacterium. RNAcentral's name for it is "bacterial SSU rRNA". It matches the Rfam family "Bacterial small subunit ribosomal RNA", at positions 30 to 334 of the family's 1533-position model. The record is from RNAcentral.